GGCCUUGCUCUUAUGUCAUCUGACUAAAGGUUUCAUAGACCAAAGAUAACCAUCCAACCUGUUGGAAUACUGAAACAAUUGCUGCCUGCUUUCCACACACUACAUAAAAUAUGUGGAUAUCCUAAAUUCUACAAAAAAAGAUUUGUAAGCAAAUCAAGCAAUACUGGGACUCCCUCUUCUCCAGAAGAGACAUCCUGGCCUCCAUGCAGAGGAAUGUGUGGAUAGACAUAUAUUUAAGGAAGACACUAAACCAGAAAAUACUACAUUACACCCUCUUAAAAGACUUCUAAGAUUGUUGUCAUGCCUACCACUGACAUUCAGAUGAUGUGUAUUCUUGAUUGUGAUUUCAUGUUUGGAGCUGAUGAAGGAGUUUGAAGUCUCCAGAGCAGCAAGGAGAUUGGGGAGUAGAACUCAUCAUCUUUAGGUCACUCAUCCCCG
This 438-nucleotide long non-coding RNA is filed under the name Mus musculus (house mouse). Its description in RNAcentral is "predicted gene 29081". Lineage: Eukaryota; Metazoa; Chordata; Mammalia; Rodentia; Muridae. The record is from RNAcentral.